Molecule: long non-coding RNA, 1383 nt
Filed under: Phasianus colchicus (ring-necked pheasant)
Lineage: Eukaryota; Metazoa; Chordata; Aves; Galliformes; Phasianidae
Description: lncRNA (ENSPCLG00000018925.1)
Source: RNAcentral
GGACGUGGGGACAGGCAGACACAGGGACAAGGGGACAGGUUGACAGGGGGACGGGAGGACAUGGGGGACAAGAGGACAUGGGGACAGGGGUGACAGCAUGCCAAGGGUGACAAGGACACAGGGAGACAGGUUGACAGGGGGACAGAUGGACAUGGGAACAGAUGGACAUGGGGACGGGGGGACAUGGGGACAGGGGUGAGAGCACGUCAAGGGUGACAAGGGGACUGGGAGACAAGGUGACAUGGGGACAGAUGGACAUGGGGACAUGGGAACAGGGGUCAGGGGGACAGAUGGACAUGGGGACAGAUGGACAUGGGGACAGGGGUGACAGCAUGCCAAGGGUGACAAGGGGAUGGGGGGACAAGGGGACAGGGGGACAAUGGGGACAUGGGGAUAAGAGGACAGGGGAACAGGGGGACAGAUGGACAUGGGUGACACAAUGGGUGACUCAAGGCCACAGGUGACACAGUGGGUGACACAACGCCAUGGGUGACACGAGGGUGACAUGAGGGUGACACAAUGGGUGACACAAUACCAUCGGUGACACAAUGUGGAAGAUGACACCGUGGACACAUAACGGGUGACACAACAGGUGACACACGGAUGACACAAUGUGUGGCACAACAGGUGACACAACAGCAUGGGUGACACUAUGCAUGACACAACGGGUGACACAACAGGUGACUCAAAGCCACAGGUGACACAGUAGGUGACACAAUGGGUGACACAACGCCAUGGGUGACUUUGAGGGUGACACAGUGGGUGACACAAAGCCACAGGUGACACAAUGGGUAACACAACACCAUGGGUGACACAACAGGUGACACUGGGUGACACAAUGGGUAACACAACACCAUGGGUGACACAACAAGUGACACUGGGUGACACAAAGGGUGACACAACACCAUGGGUGACGCGACAGGUGACACAACGGGUGACACGACGUGUGACUCAAAGCCACAGGUGACACAGUGGGUGACACAAAGCCACAAGUGACAUGAGGGUGACACGAUGGGUGACACAAUGUGGAGGGUGACACCAUGGACACACAAUAGGUGACACAACACCAUGGGUGACACAAUGGGUGACACAAGGGUGACAUGAUGGGUGACACAAUGUGGAAAGUGAUACCAUGGACACACAACGGGUAACAAAACACUAUGGGUGACACAGUGGAUGACACAAUGGGUGACACAACACCAUGGGUGACACAGUGUCUGACAGAGCACCACAGCUGACACUGUGGGUGACACGAGGGGUGACUCAAAGCCACAGGUGACACAGCGGGUGACACAAAGCCAUGGGUGACACGAGGGUGACACGAUGGGUGACACAAUGUGGAGGGUGAUACCAUCGAACUCACAACAGGUGACACAACACCAC